RNAcentral lists this ribosomal RNA (205 nucleotides) under uncultured bacterium. RNAcentral describes it as "partial 16S ribosomal RNA". It matches the Rfam family "Bacterial small subunit ribosomal RNA", at positions 524 to 724 of the family's 1533-position model. The record is from RNAcentral.
UACAGAGGGUGCAAGCGUUAAUCGGAAUUACUAGGCGUAAAGCGAGCGUAGUCGGGUUAUUUAAGUCGGGUGUGAAAGCCCCGGGCUCAACCUGGGAAAUUGCAUUCGAUACUGGAUAGCUAGAGUUCGGCAGAGGGAAGCGGAAUUUCCGGUGUAGCGGUGAAAUGCGUAGAUAUCGGAAAGGAACAUCAGUGGCGAAAAGCGG